This 443-nucleotide ribosomal RNA is filed under the name uncultured bacterium. RNAcentral describes it as "SSU rRNA". It matches the Rfam family "Bacterial small subunit ribosomal RNA", at positions 26 to 518 of the family's 1533-position model. The record is from RNAcentral.
AGAACGAACGCUGGCGGCAGGCUUAACACAUGCAAGUCGAGCGCCCCGCAAGGGGAGCGGCAGACGGGUGAGUAACGCGUGGGAAUCUACCCAUCUCUACGGAACAACUCCGGGAAACUGGAGCUAAUACCGUAUACGCCCUUCGGGGGAAAGAUUUAUCGGAGAUGGAUGAGCCCGCGUUGGAUUAGCUAGUUGGUGGGGUAAAGGCCUACCAAGGCGACGAUCCAUAGCUGGUCUGAGAGGAUGAUCAGCCACACUGGGACUGAGACACGGCCCAGACUCCUACGGGAGGCAGCAGUGGGGAAUAUUGGACAAUGGGCGCAAGCCUGAUCCAGCCAUGCCGCGUGAGUGAUGAAGGCCCUAGGGUUGUAAAGCUCUUUCAACGGUGAAGAUAAUGACGGUAACCGUAGAAGAAGCCCGGCUAACUUCGUGCCAGCAGCCGC